RNAcentral lists this non-coding RNA (45 nucleotides) under Trichobilharzia regenti. The record is from RNAcentral. Lineage: Eukaryota; Metazoa; Platyhelminthes; Trematoda; Strigeidida; Schistosomatidae.
AUCCAGAUGAAGAGUCUCAAACGGGACGACAUUGACAUCCUGGAU